This 38-nucleotide transfer RNA is filed under the name Lepidoblepharis sp. TG-2012. RNAcentral describes it as "partial tRNA-Asn". Lineage: Eukaryota; Metazoa; Chordata; Lepidosauria; Squamata; Sphaerodactylidae. The record is from RNAcentral.
AAUUAAGUGUUCUUGGGAUCGAAGCCCGAUAGUCUAGU